GGACUGUGAGAUGGCCAAUGACGGUCUGACCCGUUGGGCCGGGCCAGGUCGCGGACAACGUCGACCGUUUGUUUAAGAAGCGUGGACUCUUGUCCUGAGUGCACCGAGGCUUUCAGCCUGCGGGACAGUGGUGCGAUUUGCAUUAGAGCCUAUCUCCCAGGACUAUGGAAGCCCCAUGCAGGAACAUGGUUCUGACACUUUGGGGAUUAUACCCUAAGCUUAAAGGACUGGAAAAGCCCCUGAAGUCCCGAGACCACAACCCUCCACCUUCUAAAGAUAAGACAAGUCACUGAAGGUCUCAGAACUGUGGCCCAUUCACCCCUUCCCUCAAGACAAGAGUGUGGCCAAGCAUCAAUCUCACCCCCAGAGACCAGACGGUGUCCAGGUCUUGGGCAGACGAAACCUGCUCCUUGGGGAUGGUCUUCCUGGCUGUGCUUCCAAAGGGCUGGCCUGCAAUCAGCUGGUUUUCACUUGAUCCUUUCGGGGUUUGCAUUAUAUCUGACUGAAGGAAUGAACUGGGAGAGAACAGCAGAGCCGCAGCGGAAUGUGGAAAGGCCCACGUCCAGACUGUUCCCAUUCUGAUUUAAAAGCCUGAUGAAGGAACAGCUGAACUCAGAGAAACAGCAGUUGCCCAUGGAUGGGAGAAGCAGCCUGCCAAGGCCCAGAGAUGCAGGGUUUAAUUCCCAGAGCUCACGGGAAGCCGGCUGAUUGGUGAACGCGCCCGCACUGUGUGCCAUCUGCUUGAGCGUUGUCCUGGUUCACUUCCAGUAUAAAGCUCAGAGUGCAGGAAUAAUAUCCAAGUGCCAGCAAAACCACUUGGGUGGUCGCAAAAUGGAGUGAGGAGGAUCAUGAGGGCUGUGUUUCUGAAGAACCCACAGGGGGAGGCAGCAGGGAUGAACUGCAAAAAAGUGGCAGUCUAUGCUGCACACAUCAGCCCCACAAAAGAAUAACAAAAUCCAGGAGCAGAGAGCUGAGCUACCGUAACUGAGAAUGGCUCCGCAGUGGGGAUGGUUUGAGAACCGUGACCUGGGUCUAGAUGGCCCCUCUUGGAGCUCACUGGGACCCUGCAUACAUUCCCUGCCUAUUGACCUCACACAGCAGUGGCUUAGCUCGGCUGAGAGGAGAACUGUCUGUUCCUCUUUGUUGGUUUAACCAUAUGAUACACAAUCCUGUAAACAAAUUAAUUUCCUCUGGGACUUCUGAAAGCAUGCUAACUGCAUUAUCAUUUUUUUCUGCACAAAGGAAGCUUAGCAAGAAAACAAUUAUGGGAUGGACUUCAAAUGAUCUCCAAAUGGCCAUAAAAUAGAGAUGUAGUCAACAGAGAGGCAGG
RNAcentral lists this long non-coding RNA (1330 nucleotides) under Homo sapiens (human). RNAcentral's name for it is "HSALNT0223476". Lineage: Eukaryota; Metazoa; Chordata; Mammalia; Primates; Hominidae. The record is from RNAcentral.